GGAAAGUAAAAGUCGUAACAAGGUUUCCGUAGGUGAACCUGCGGAAGGAUCAUUACUGAGUGAGGGCCCCUCGGGGUCCAACCUCCCACCCGUGUUUAACGAACCUUGUUGCUUCGGCGGGCCCGCCUCACGGCCGCCGGGGGGCAUUUGCCCCCGGGCCCGCGCCCGCCGAAGCCACCUGUGAACGCUGUCUGAAGUAUGCAGUCUGAGACAAUUAUUAAAUUAAUUAAAACUUUCAACAACGGAUCUCUUGGUUCCG
RNAcentral lists this unclassified non-coding RNA (259 nucleotides) under plant metagenome. RNAcentral describes it as "partial contains small subunit ribosomal RNA, internal transcribed spacer 1, and 5.8S ribosomal RNA". The stretch from base 1 to 55 matches the Rfam family "Eukaryotic small subunit ribosomal RNA", at positions 1777 to 1831 of the family's 1831-position model. The record is from RNAcentral.